This 85-nucleotide transfer RNA is filed under the name Felis catus (domestic cat). It matches the Rfam family "tRNA". From Rfam's summary of the family: Transfer RNA (tRNA) molecules are approximately 80 nucleotides in length. Their secondary structure includes four short double-helical elements and three loops (D, anti-codon, and T loops). The record is from Rfam by way of RNAcentral. Lineage: Eukaryota; Metazoa; Chordata; Mammalia; Carnivora; Felidae.
GCCUGGGUGGCUCAGUCAGUUGAGCGUCUGACUUCAGCUCAGGUCACGAUCUCACGGUUUGUGAGUUCGAGCCCCGCAUCAGGCU